This 29-nucleotide non-coding RNA is filed under the name Mus musculus (house mouse). The record is from RNAcentral. Lineage: Eukaryota; Metazoa; Chordata; Mammalia; Rodentia; Muridae.
UUCUCUUGUAAGAGCUGUAAGGUGUGUUG